Long non-coding RNA from Rhinolophus ferrumequinum (greater horseshoe bat), 992 nucleotides. RefSeq lists it as uncharacterized. The record is from RefSeq and is a predicted model, not a curated record. Lineage: Eukaryota; Metazoa; Chordata; Mammalia; Chiroptera; Rhinolophidae. The transcript has 4 exons.
AUUCAGGUCAAAAGGGAGAGUGAUCAAACAGGAAGGCUGAAGUAUUUUUAGUGAGCUGGGUCCAAAAAUAAAUGCUGAGCUGUAGUCCCCUUCCCACCCUUUCUGCCUUGUCGUAAGGGGGUGCAAGGAGAGGGGGAAGGCAGGUGGUAUGCAGCAGCAUUAAUUUGGCUGAGUAACUUUCCCCAAACCUGGGCAAGUUCUCCAAUCACCAGAGAGGAGAUCAGGUGGUCUAGGAAAGCCUAAUGGAGGAGGUGACAUGUGAGCUGAGACCUGAAGAAGGAGAAUGAGUCAGCUAUGAGUAGAGUUGCCAUGGAAGGAACAUUCCAGAAGGAUGGAGUCAUGAGUACAAAGACCCUAAGGCUCACAGUCUUCUUGGAGAAUAUUAUAGGAGCUGCGAACCCACUCUGGAGUUACACAAACUUCUGCCUCCGGUUUCAGACAGCUUGGGUCUCAUCCUCCCUACUUCCCUACCUUCAAGCUUCUGAUCUGGUUCUACCACCUUGAGAACAAUGCUCAGCAUCCUUGCUAAGAGGGGCUUACCACAAGAUGAUAGCUGUGUGAUCUUUAAACCACGAGGCCCAAGACAGCCAAGAGGUUAUAGUGAUUCGCGAAAUCGUUGGAGCCAUAAGACAGAGGGAGGAGAAGCAAAAGGACGUGCAUUUUCUUUAGUUUCCUUCAAGCUGUUUUUGAGCCACAUAUACGGGUAACCCAGAGCUGGCUGCUAUUAUGGGGGUGCCUGGGAGCUGGGCCACAUGGCAUCCCUGCCAAGAAGGAAUCUGCGUUGGCGUUGUCAUCGGUCUUCAGCUUCACAGAAUUAAAUUCCUAAUGACUCUGGGUUCCUGACACCAUUAAGAACUACAUAGUUGAAGAAUGCAGUCAACGCUCACGACCUGCACUUUCCAAACAAAAGCUUUGACAUUGACACGAACUCGCAUCUAAGACUACGGCUCCCUCCCCGACGCCAUCAGAGGUAACCAUGGUCUUGAACCCCG